CAGGAAAUAGUUUACAGAUAAAAUUUUAAUUUUGGGUAUUAGAGAUGGAUACAUUUAUUCUUUCCUGA
RNAcentral lists this transfer RNA (68 nucleotides) under Sorineuchora nigra. Its description in RNAcentral is "tRNA-Pro". Lineage: Eukaryota; Metazoa; Arthropoda; Insecta; Blattodea; Pseudophyllodromiidae. The record is from RNAcentral.